This 535-nucleotide ribosomal RNA is filed under the name Salmonella enterica subsp. enterica serovar Rubislaw. RNAcentral's name for it is "partial 23S ribosomal RNA". It matches the Rfam family "Bacterial large subunit ribosomal RNA", at positions 1243 to 1773 of the family's 2925-position model. Lineage: Bacteria; Pseudomonadati; Pseudomonadota; Gammaproteobacteria; Enterobacterales; Enterobacteriaceae. RNAcentral also lists the same sequence under 2 other names. The record is from RNAcentral.
UAAGCCUGCGAAGGUGGCCUGUGAGGGUUGCUGGAGGUAUCAGAAGUGCGAAUGCUGACAUAAGUAACGAUAAAGCGGGUGAAAAGCCCGCUCGCCGGAAGACCAAGGGUUCCUGUCCAACGUUAAUCGGGGCAGGGUGAGUCGACCCCUAAGGCGAGGCCGAAAGGCGUAGUCGAUGGGAAACGGGUUAAUAUUCCCGUACUUGGUGUUACUGCGAAGGGGGGACGGAGAAGGCUAUGUUGGCCGGGCGACGGUUGUCCCGGUUUAAGCGUGUAGGUGUGUGUUCCAGGUAAAUCCGGUUCACUUUAACACUGAGGCGUGACGACGAGGCACUACGGUGCUGAAGCAACAAAUGCCCUGCUUCCAGGAAAAGCCUCUAAGCAUCAGGUAACAUCAAAUCGUACCCCAAACCGACACAGGUGGUCAGGUAGAGAAUACCAAGGCGCUUGAGAGAACUCGGGUGAAGGAACUAGGCAAAAUGGUGCCGUAACUUCGGGAGAAGGCACGCUGACACGUAGGUGAAGUGAUUUACUCA